This 497-nucleotide ribosomal RNA is filed under the name Kocuria palustris. RNAcentral describes it as "bacterial SSU rRNA". It matches the Rfam family "Bacterial small subunit ribosomal RNA", at positions 121 to 633 of the family's 1533-position model. Lineage: Bacteria; Bacillati; Actinomycetota; Actinomycetes; Micrococcales; Micrococcaceae. The record is from RNAcentral.
GUAACCUGCCCUUGACUCUGGGAAAACCCGGGAAACUGGGUCUAAUACUGGAUGCUACAUGUCACCGCAUGGUGGUGUGGGGAAAGGGUUUACUGGUCUUGGAUGGGCUCACGGCCUAUCAGCUUGUUGGUGAGGGAAUGGCUCACCAAGGGGACGACGGGUAGCCGGCCUGAUAGGGUGACCGGCCCCACUGGGACUGAAACACGGCCCAACUCCUACGGGAGGCAGCAGUGGGGAAUAUUGCACAAUGGGCGAAAGCCUGAUGCACGACGCCGGGUGAGGGAUGACGGCCUUCCGGUUGUAAACCUCUUUCAGCAGGGAAAAAGCCACAACUGACGGUACCUGCAGAAGAAGCGCCGGCUACCUACGUGCCACCCCCCGCGGUAAUACGUAGGGCGCAAGCGUUGUCCGGAAUUAUUGGGCGUAAAUAGCACGUAGGGGGUGUGUCACGUCUGCUGGGAAAGCCCGGGGCUUAACCCCGGGUGCGCAGUGGGUAC